CCUACGGGAGGCAGCAGUGGGGAAUAUUGGACAAUGGGGGGAACCCUGAUCCAGCGACGCCGCGUGAGUGAAGAAGUAUUUCGGUAUGUAAAGCUCUAUCAGCAGAGAAGAAAGAAAUGACGGUACCUGACCAAGAAGCCCCGGCUAACUACGUGCCAGCAGCCGCGGUAAUACGUAGGGGGCAAGCGUUAUCCGGAUUUACUGGGUGUAAAGGGAGCGUAGACGGCGAUGCAAGUCUGAAGUGAAAGGCGGGGGCCCAACCUCCGGACUGCUUUGGAAACUGUAUGGCUGGAGUGCAGGAGAGGUGAGUGGAAUUCCUAGUGUAGCGGUGAAAUGCGUAGAUAUUAGGAGGAACACCAGUGGCGAAGGCGGCUUACUGGACUGUAACUGACGUUGAGGCUCGAAAGCGUGGGGAGCAAACAGGAUUAGAUACCCCAGUAGUC
Molecule: ribosomal RNA, 443 nt
Filed under: uncultured bacterium
Lineage: Bacteria
Description: partial 16S ribosomal RNA
Rfam family: Bacterial small subunit ribosomal RNA
Source: RNAcentral